GACGAACGCUGGCGGCGUGCCUAAUACAUGCAAGUCGAACGAACCGCGACUAGGUGCUUGCACUUGGUCAAGGUGAGUGGCGAACGGGUGAGUAACACGUGGGUAACCUACCUCAUAGUGGGGGAUAACAGUCGGAAACGACUGCUAAUACCGCAUAGGACAUAGGAUCACAUGAUUCUGUGAGGAAAGGUGGCGCAAGCUAUCGCUAAGAGAUGGACCCGCGGUGCAUUAGCUAGUUGGUAGGGUAAAGGCCUACCAAGGCGAUGAUGCAUAGCCGACCUGAGAGGGUGAUCGGCCACAUUGGGACUGAGACACGGCCCAAACUCCUACGGGAGGCAGCAGUAGGGAAUCUUCCGCAAUGGACGCAAGUCUGACGGAGCAACGCCGCGUGAGUGAAGAAGGUCUUCGGAUCGUAAAGCUCUGUUGUUAGAGAAGAACAGCGCAUAGAGAAACUGUUAUGCGUGUGACGGUAUCUAACCAGAAAGCCACGGCUAACUACGUG
Molecule: ribosomal RNA, 502 nt
Filed under: uncultured bacterium
Lineage: Bacteria
Description: partial 16S ribosomal RNA
Rfam family: Bacterial small subunit ribosomal RNA
Source: RNAcentral